This 490-nucleotide ribosomal RNA is filed under the name uncultured bacterium. RNAcentral's name for it is "partial 16S ribosomal RNA". It matches the Rfam family "Bacterial small subunit ribosomal RNA", at positions 30 to 507 of the family's 1533-position model. The record is from RNAcentral.
AUUGAACGCUGGCGGCAGGCCUAACACAUGCAAGUCGAACGGUAACAGGAAGCAGCUUGCUGCUUCGCUGACGAGUGGCGGACGGGUGAGUAAUGUCUGGGAAGCUGCCUGAUGGAGGGGGAUAACUACUGGAAACGGUAGCUAAUACCGCAUAAUGUCGCAAGACCAAAGAGGGGGACCUUCGGGCCUCUUGCCAUCGGAUGUGCCCAGAUGGGAUUAGCUUGUUGGUGGGGUAACGGCUCACCAAGGCGACGAUCCCUAGCUGGUCUGAGAGGAUGACCAGCCACACUGGAACUGAGACACGGUACAGACUCCUAAGGGAGGCAGCAGUGGGGAAUAUUGCACAAGGGGCGCAAGCCUGAUGCAGCCAUGCCGCGUGUAUGAAGAAGGCCUUCGGGUUGUAAAGUACUUUCAGCGGGGAGGAAGGGAGUAAAGUUAAUACCUUUGCUCAUUGACGUUACCCGCAGAAGAAGCACCGGCUAACUCCGUG